This 228-nucleotide ribosomal RNA is filed under the name uncultured bacterium. Its description in RNAcentral is "partial 16S ribosomal RNA". It matches the Rfam family "Bacterial small subunit ribosomal RNA", at positions 125 to 354 of the family's 1533-position model. The record is from RNAcentral.
UCUGCCUUGGAUGGGGAAUAACGGCUGGAAACAGCCGCUAAUACCGCAUGAUGCAUCUGAGUCGCAUGGUUUGGAUGCCAAAGAUUUAUCGCUCUGAGAUGAGCUCGCGUCUGAUUAGCUAGUUGGCGGGGUAACGGCCCACCAAGGCGACGAUCAGUAGCCGGACUGAGAGGUUGGCCGGCCACAUUGGGACUGAGACACGGCCCAGACUCCUACGGGAGGCAGCAG